Molecule: transfer RNA, 60 nt
Filed under: Glossiphonia complanata
Lineage: Eukaryota; Metazoa; Annelida; Clitellata; Rhynchobdellida; Glossiphoniidae
Description: tRNA-Arg
Source: RNAcentral
AAACAAUAGCAAAAUUGCAUUUCGAUUUCGGCUCGAAAAGUGGAUUAUAUCCAUUGUUUA